UACAGAGACCUCGAUCGUUGUCCGGAUUCAUUGGGCGUAAAGGGUCCGUAGGCGGUAUAUCAAGUCAUUUGUCAAAUCUCAGGGCUUAACUCUGAGGCUGCGAGUGAAACUGGUGUACUUGAGGCUGGGAGAGGCAAGCGGAAUUACCGGUGUAGUCGUAAUAAGCGUUGAUAUCGGUAAGAACACCAAAGGCGAAGGCAGCUUGCUGGAACAGUUCUGACGCUCAGGGACGAAAGCGUGGGUAGCGAAUGGG
RNAcentral lists this ribosomal RNA (253 nucleotides) under uncultured bacterium. RNAcentral's name for it is "partial 16S ribosomal RNA". It matches the Rfam family "Bacterial small subunit ribosomal RNA", at positions 524 to 776 of the family's 1533-position model. The record is from RNAcentral.